Molecule: ribosomal RNA, 254 nt
Filed under: uncultured bacterium
Lineage: Bacteria
Description: partial 16S ribosomal RNA
Rfam family: Bacterial small subunit ribosomal RNA
Source: RNAcentral
UACAGAGGGUGCGAGCGUUAAUCGGAAUUAUUGGGCGUAAAGAGCUCGUAGGCGGUGUGUCGCGUCGGCCGUGAAAACCUGCAGCUUAACUGUGGGCUUGCGGUCGAUACGGGCAUCACUGGAGUUCGGCAGGGGAGACUGGAAUUCCUGGUGUAGCGGUGAAAUGCGUAGAUAUCUGGAGGAACACCGGUGGCGAAGGCGGCAUCCUGGACCGACACUGACACUGAGGAGCGAAAGCCAGGGGAGCAAACGGG